Molecule: ribosomal RNA, 443 nt
Filed under: uncultured bacterium
Lineage: Bacteria
Description: partial 16S ribosomal RNA
Rfam family: Bacterial small subunit ribosomal RNA
Source: RNAcentral
CCUACGGGAUGCAGCAGUGGGGGAUAUUGGACAAUGGGGGAAACCCUGAUCCAGCGACGCCGCGUGAGUGAAGAAGUAUUUCGGUAUGUAAAGCUCUGUCAGCAGGGCAGAAAGAACUGACUGUACCUGACCAAUAAGCCCCGGCUAACUACGUGCCAUCCGCCGCGGUAAUACGUAGGGGGCAAGCGUUAUCCGGAAUUACUUGGUGUAAAGGGGGCGUAGACGGUGAUGCAAGUCUGGAGUGAAAGGCGGGGGCUCAACCCACGGACUGCUCUGGAAACUGUGUAACUGGAGUGCAGGAGAGGUAAGCGGAAUGCCUAGUGUAGCGGUGAAAUGCGUAGAUAUCAGGAGGAACACCGGCGGCGAAGGCGGCAUGAUGGACUGAAACUGACGUUGAGGCUCGAAAGCGUGGGGAGCAAACAGGAUUAGAUACCCGUGUAGUC